RNAcentral lists this ribosomal RNA (218 nucleotides) under uncultured Stichotrichia. RNAcentral describes it as "partial Bacterial small subunit ribosomal RNA". It matches the Rfam family "Bacterial small subunit ribosomal RNA", at positions 556 to 773 of the family's 1533-position model. The record is from RNAcentral. Lineage: Eukaryota; Ciliophora; Spirotrichea.
GGGUUUAAAGGGUCCGUAGGCGGGAAAUUAAGUCAGUGGUGAAAGCCUAUCGCUCAACGAUAGAACUGCCAUUGAUACUGAUUUUCUUGAGUGUAGAUGAAGUGGGCGGAAUGUGUCAUGUAGCGGUGAAAUGCAUAGAUAUGACACAGAACACCGAUUGCGAAGGCAGCUCACUAAACUAUUACUGACGCUGAGGGACGAAAGCGUGGGGAGCGAAC